CCUACGGGAGGCAGCAGUGGGGAAUAUUGGACAAUGGGGGGAACCCUGAUCCAGCCAUGCCGCGUGUGUGAAGAAGGCCCUCGGGUUGUAAAGCACUUUCAGUGAGGAAGAACGCCUGGUGGUUAAUACCCAUCAGGAAAGACAUCACUCACAGAAGAAGCACCGGCUAACUCCGUGCCAGCAGCCGCGGUAAUACGGAGGGUGCGAGCGUUAAUCGGAAUUACUGGGCGUAAAGCGCGUGUAGGUGGCUUGAUAAGCCGGUUGUGAAAGCCCCGGGCUCAACCUGGGAACGGCAUCCGGAACUGUCAAGCUAGAGUGCAGGAGAGGAAGGUAGAAUUCCCGGUGUAGCGGUGAAAUGCGUAGAGAUCGGGAGGAAUACCAGUGGCGAAGGCGGCCUUCUGGACUGACACUGACACUGAGGUGCGAAAGCGUGGGUAGCAAACAGGAUUAGAUACCCCGGUAGUC
RNAcentral lists this ribosomal RNA (465 nucleotides) under Vreelandella stevensii. RNAcentral's name for it is "partial 16S ribosomal RNA". It matches the Rfam family "Bacterial small subunit ribosomal RNA", at positions 338 to 795 of the family's 1533-position model. Lineage: Bacteria; Pseudomonadati; Pseudomonadota; Gammaproteobacteria; Oceanospirillales; Halomonadaceae. The record is from RNAcentral.